CCCUGUGCGGUGGGUUGGGGCCAUAAAUCACAAUGGGGUGGGGGGGUCCCUCCCCUCCUCCAUUGUGAUUUAUGGCCCCCACCCACUGCACAGGG
This is a non-coding RNA of Pelobates cultripes (western spadefoot toad), 95 nucleotides long. The record is from the annotation of a GenBank genome assembly. NCBI's taxonomy places the organism in Eukaryota, Metazoa, Chordata, Amphibia, Anura, Pelobatidae.